Molecule: long non-coding RNA, 639 nt
Filed under: Mus musculus (house mouse)
Lineage: Eukaryota; Metazoa; Chordata; Mammalia; Rodentia; Muridae
Description: long non-coding RNA chr11:101306741-101307380
Source: RNAcentral
GCCACCAGCUGUCAGAAACUCAUUGAAGUAGGUGACUAACUAAAGUUUCAUCCUCUCUAUGAGAAGUUCAUGCCACAGGAGUAGCCACCGAAGCCCUGUGUGAAGAGUUGAAGGUUAUGUGGUCUUGAUCAGAAGUGGAAAUGACAAAGUUUUCGCAUGAAAACAAGUGAUUUUGCCCCACGGCACAGAGCAUGUGCAGUUCAGUAAGGGAAAUUCUGGUUGUAGACCAAGGAGAACUGGGGUCAGGCAUCCCAGUUGGUUCAUGGAUGCUUUGUGGACAUUAAUCUGAGUGUUCUCAACUUGGUUAUUUGUAAGGAGCCAAGGGAGGAUAUUCCUAGACGGACAGAUACUACCGUGCCUUGAAGGUUGGGGUCCCCAAAAGAUAACAGCAUCCGGAAGAUUUUCAGUCUCACUGAAGAAGAUGAUGUCCAGCAAUAUGUUGUCAGGAAAUUAAGAAGCAAAACACCAAGAUUCAGCAUCCUGCAACAUAAACAUUGCUCUGAUUUUUAAAAUGAGGCUGCUACACAGUGUGGCCAAGAGAAUGAGGGAAGCCAAAGAAAAACAGCAAGAAGAGAGAUCACCAAGAGGCAUAGGUUGUCCUUGCUGAGAGCUUCUAAGUCUGAGUGCAGUCAAAAAUAA